GACAGAGGGUGCAAACGUUGCUCGGAAUUACUGGGCGUAAAGCGCGUGUAGGUGGACUGGUGUGUCAGAUGUGAAAUCCCUGGGCUCAACCCAGGAACUGCACCUGAAACUACCAGCCUUGAGUGGUGGAGAGGGAAGUGGAAUUCCUGGUGUAGAGGUGAAAUUCGUAGAUAUCGGGAGGAACACCGGUGGCGAAGGCGGCGACCUGGGUAGAUACUGACGCUGAGGCGCGAAAGCGUGGGGAGCAAACAGG
RNAcentral lists this ribosomal RNA (253 nucleotides) under uncultured bacterium. RNAcentral describes it as "partial 16S ribosomal RNA". It matches the Rfam family "Bacterial small subunit ribosomal RNA", at positions 524 to 776 of the family's 1533-position model. The record is from RNAcentral.